This 228-nucleotide ribosomal RNA is filed under the name uncultured bacterium. RNAcentral's name for it is "partial 16S ribosomal RNA". It matches the Rfam family "Bacterial small subunit ribosomal RNA", at positions 15 to 225 of the family's 1533-position model. The record is from RNAcentral.
GAUCAUGGCUCAGGACGAACGCUGGCGGCGUGCUUAACACAUGCAAGUCGAACGGGGCACCCUUGAAUGAGACUUCGGUCAAAGGAAAGGAAUGCUUAGUGGCGGACUGGUGAGUAACGCGUGAGGAACCUGCCUUUCAGAGGGGGACAACAGCUGGAAACGGCUGCUAAUACCGCAUGACGCAUUCGGAUGGCAUCAUCUGAAUGCCAAAGAUUUAUCGCUGAAAGA